RNAcentral lists this ribosomal RNA (435 nucleotides) under Macaca assamensis (Assam macaque). Its description in RNAcentral is "partial 12S ribosomal RNA". It matches the Rfam family "Bacterial small subunit ribosomal RNA", at positions 508 to 1191 of the family's 1533-position model. Lineage: Eukaryota; Metazoa; Chordata; Mammalia; Primates; Cercopithecidae. The record is from RNAcentral.
CCAGCUACCGCGGUCACACGAUUAGCCCUAGCUAAUAGAGAUCGGCGUAGAGGGUGUUUAAGAUCUAACACAAUAAAGCUAAACUCCAUCUAAACUGUAAAACCCUAGCUAAUGUAAAAUAAACUACGAAAGUGGCUUUAAAACUUCUGAACACACAAUAGCCAAGACCCAAACUGGGAUUAGACACCCUACUAUGCUUGGCCCUAAACCUCAGUAGUUAAAUAACAAAACUACUCGCCAGAAUACUACAAGCAACAGCUUAAAACUCAAAGGACUUGACGGUGCUUUACACCCUCUAGAGGAGCCUGUUCCGUAAUCGAUAAACCCCGAUCCACCCCACCCUCUCUUGCUCAGCCUAUAUACCGCCAUCUUCAGCAAACCCUGAUAAAGGCCACAAAGUGAGCGCAAACGCCACCACCGCGAAGACGUUAGGUC